RNAcentral lists this ribosomal RNA (441 nucleotides) under uncultured Caldilinea sp. RNAcentral's name for it is "bacterial SSU rRNA". It matches the Rfam family "Bacterial small subunit ribosomal RNA", at positions 338 to 795 of the family's 1533-position model. Lineage: Bacteria; Bacillati; Chloroflexota; Caldilineae; Caldilineales; Caldilineaceae. The record is from RNAcentral.
CCUACGGGAGGCAGCAGUGGGGAAUAUUGGGCAAUGGACGCAAGUCUGACCCAGCAACGCCGCGUGGAGGAUGAAGGUCUUUGGAUUGUAAACUCCUUUUGCAGGGGAAGAGUGAGGACGGUACCCUGAGAAUAAGUCACGGCUAACUACGUGCCAGCAGCCGCGGUAAUACGUAGGUGACGAGCGUUAUCCGGAUUUAUUGGGCGUAAAGCGCACGCAGGCGGCUUGACAAGUCUGACGUGAAAUCUCCCGGCUUAACUGGGAGCGGUCGUUGGAAACUGUCGAGCUUGAGGCGAUGAGAGGGGUGUGGAAUUCCCGGUGUAGUGGUGGAAUGCGUAGAUAUCGGGGGGAACAUCAGUGGCGAAAGCGGCACCCUGGCAUUAGCCUGACGCUCAUGUGCGAAAGCGUGGGGAGCGAACGGGAUUAGAUACCCCUGUAGUC